UGUACACACCGCCCGUCACACCAUGGGAGCGGGUUCUGCCAGAAGUAGUUAGCCUAACCGUAAGGAGGGCGAUUACCACGGCAGGGUUCGUGACUGGGGUGAAGUCGUAACAAGGUAGCCGUAUCGGAAGGUGCGGCUGGAUCACCUCCUUUCUGGAAAUAUGCAGUCAAAUUCUUACGCCCAUUCUUAUCGGCUGUUGUGUCAAACAACAGCAAUGUCACCGAGUUAAUUCAAGUUAAUUAGCAUUAAUUGGUGCCGCCUUCGAGUUUAUUAAUGAGAGGGUCUGUAGCUCAGCUGGUUAGAGCAUCGUCUUGAUAAGGCGGGGGUCGUUGGUUCGAGUCCAACCAGACCCACCAAUUGGGCUUAGGUGGAGAGCGAGAAGCGAAAAAGAAAUCCCGGGGGAUUAGCUCAGCUGGGAGAGCACCUGCUUUGCAAGCAGGGGGUCGACGGUUCGAUCCCGUCAUCCUCCACCAAAAUAUUCAGCAGAUUGAUUAAUUCAGUUUGUUGAAAAACUUAUCAGAAGCAAAUUAAAUUAAUGCAAAGCAUGUUCGCGACAAGUCGCGAGGAUGCUUUGUAUUGAUUGAUUCAUUUCAAUUAUUGGCUGUUCUUUAAAAAUUUAUAGAGUUAAAUUAGCGUCGUUAGCGGAAACUGCACAUUCGUAAAGGUUUAGUGCAGACCGUGCCGCUAGCGACAUAGUAGUAAAUAAUUUUUUGAUUGCGUCAAAAGAAACUUUUAAUUUCGAUAGUAAUUUAUUGAAUAAUUGGAAGAUACGGCAUAACGCGUGUGGUGUAAGACCACACAAUCAUUCCUUGAAGAUAACUGAAGAGAAAUCAAAGUUAUAGGGUCAAGCGAAUAAGAGCAUAUGGUGGAUGCCUAGGCAAUGAUAGGCGACGAAAGACGUGAUAGCCUGCGAUAAGCUUCGGGGAGCUGGCAAAUUAGCUUUGAUCCGGAGAUUUCUGAAUGGGGAAACCCACCCUUCGGGGUAACGCUGACUGAAUACAUAGGUCUGCGUGGCGAACCGGGUGAACUGAAACAUCUCAGUAGCUCGAGGAAAAGACAUCAACCGAGAUUCCGAGAGUAGUGGCGAGCGAAA
RNAcentral lists this unclassified non-coding RNA (1093 nucleotides) under Polaromonas sp. E12S. Its description in RNAcentral is "partial contains 16S ribosomal RNA, 16S-23S ribosomal RNA intergenic spacer, and 23S ribosomal RNA". The stretch from base 843 to 1093 matches the Rfam family "Bacterial large subunit ribosomal RNA", at positions 1 to 258 of the family's 2925-position model. Lineage: Bacteria; Pseudomonadati; Pseudomonadota; Betaproteobacteria; Burkholderiales; Comamonadaceae. The record is from RNAcentral.